Molecule: long non-coding RNA, 409 nt
Organism: Tachysurus fulvidraco (yellow catfish)
Lineage: Eukaryota; Metazoa; Chordata; Actinopteri; Siluriformes; Bagridae
Exons: 3
Source: RefSeq, a predicted model, not a curated record
ACACACACCAUUUUUCCAACCGCACUUCGUAACAGCGAGAAACUUUUCACACUUUGAAAAGAAAAGCAAUACACUGUAAAUGAGCUAACAUGCCACGGCGAGCUUUCCAGGACUCAUCGGGAGUGUGGACGCAUCAUCCAAAGAAGAGACAUCCUGGACUGUGGUCAUGUGAUGAUUUAAGCUCCAUCUAUAUCUCUGAUUUGCUGUGCCAAAUCUCAUCUCCCAUCUCUCUGAGCUCUUCAGACCAGGGUGUCACUGCAGGAGGUGCCAAGAUCCUCAAAGGAAGGUCAGCACUCUGUCAGGACUGAGUGCAAAGUCCACAGAAAAGAGGUUGAAAGCUGUUUUGGAGAACAUGCUGAAGAGUUCUGUCCACCCCCCUGUGCCAUGAUAUUAAAGAACUUGCUCUUCA